GAAUCAACGCUGGCGGCGUGCCUCAGACAUGCAAGUCGAACGCGAAAGUCCCCUUCGGGGGAUGAUUAGAGUGGCGCACGGGUGAGUAACACGUAGGUAAUCUACCUUCGAGUGGGGAAUAACUCAGGGAAACUUGAGCUAAUACCGCAUAAUGCAGCGGCACCACAUGGUGACAGUUGUUAAAGCAUUUAUGCGCUUGAAGAGGAGCCUGCGGCGGAUUAGCUAGUUGGUAAGGUAAUGGCUUACCAAGGCUACGAUCUGUAACCGGCCUGAGAGGGCGGACGGUCACACUGAC
This 295-nucleotide ribosomal RNA is filed under the name uncultured bacterium. RNAcentral describes it as "partial 16S ribosomal RNA". It matches the Rfam family "Bacterial small subunit ribosomal RNA", at positions 27 to 317 of the family's 1533-position model. The record is from RNAcentral.